AGUGAACGCUGGCGGUAGGCCUAACACAUGCAAGUCGAACGGCAGCACAGUAAGAGCUUGCUCUUACGGGUGGCGAGUGGCGGACGGGUGAGGAAUACAUCGGAAUCUACUUUUUCGUGGGGGAUAACGUAGGGAAACUUACGCUAAUACCGCAUACGACCUACGGGUGAAAGCAGGGGAUCUUCGGACCUUGCGCGAUUGAAUGAGCCGAUGUCGGAUUAGCUAGUUGGCGGGGUAAAGGCCCACCAAGGCGACGAUCCGUAGCUGGUCUGAGAGGAUGAUCAGCCACACUGGAACUGAGACACGGUCCAGACUCCUACGGGAGGCAGCAGUGGGGAAUAUUGGACAAAGGGCGCAAGCCUGAUCCAGACAUACCGCGUGGGUGAAGAAGGCCUUCGGGUUGUAAAGCCCUUUUGUUGGGAAAGAAAAGCAGCAGGUUAAUACCCCGCUGUUCUGACGGUACCCAAAGAAUAAGCACCGGCUAACUUCGUG
Molecule: ribosomal RNA, 492 nt
Filed under: uncultured bacterium
Lineage: Bacteria
Description: partial 16S ribosomal RNA
Rfam family: Bacterial small subunit ribosomal RNA
Source: RNAcentral